CCGGGGCCUUCCUAAAUGGAAACCUUUCCUCUCCCAGGCUCAAAUUCAAAGCAUUCACAGAGGUCAGGGAGAUCUUGGGGUCCUGGAGAGGAAAGGGGUGUCCCUCCUCUCUGCACCCUAUCUGGGUGUGGGGGAACUGUCAUCUCAUUCAAAGUCUGUCACCCUUCACCUUUUCUCUUACUUUUUUUUGCGGGGGGAGGAGGAGGACUAUCACCGAUGUCCUCGGGCAGAGGUCUGUCCCCUCGGUUUCCACUCGGGUUCCCGAGGGCGUGGAAAGCCGGACAGUAGCUUAGGGACAGUUCAGAACCAGACGAGAACAGCGGAGACAGAUGUACUGGCCCGCGCGGCUUCGCUGUCCGAGAUCCGCCUGUACUUUCCCAAGCCUGGGACCCAGGCGGGCCGGAGCAUCAGCAAACACCUCUCCAAGGCCGAGAGCGUUGGGCGCCGAAGGGCUGCAGGCACCACAGGGGACGGAGGUCCUCGAGCUGAGCCUACAAGAUUCCAUCCAAACCAGUCCUGCAGGUCUGGCCUCUGACUCAGGCUUUUCUGCACCUAGAGGAAGUCCAAGCUGUCCUGGCUUUGAGAGAAAAUGACUGUCAGGCCUGGGGGCAUCGGGUCUAUGCACUGGAGACUCUGCCUGAAUGCCUGAAUGCUGGAGGGAGAACAGAGAGCUCUGAGUCUGUAUAGCAUGCCCAUUCUGCACUCGGGAAGGAGCCAGGGAGGAGGAACUACCUUCUUGGGCCACAUGGACUGUCCAAAGGCCUUCAAAGAUCAAGAAGGAGAGAUUGGAACCUUGAGAAGGCCUGGGUCCAGGACUCCUCCGUCAAACGCAGGAAGGGAGGGGAGCAGCAAUGAUCACUUCCAUGCAGAUGCCACUCAAGCCUAUGCUUACCCUGACCUCUUUUCUGAGCUUCUGAUGACUAUUUGGCCUGGAUAUCUUACUGCCUGCUUGAAUUGAACAAAUGUCAAACCGAACUUGGCAUCUUCUCUCCCUUUCACUCCCCAAGCCUACUCCUCUAUGUCACCAAUCUUCCCCCCACCCCCACCCCAGUCUCUGUGUUUGAAAAUGGCAUUAUCUUAAAAUUUCCCAUUUUUGCUCUCCUUUACCUGGUAUAGCAUCUUGAGUGCUGGACUUGGAGCCUGGAAGACCUGGGUCCAAAUCCCAGCUCUGCCACGUAUGGAUAACACUUAUCUAUAUGACUUCUGGUAAGUCACUUAACCUCUCUGAGACUCAGUUUCCUCUUCUGUAAAAUCAGGGAUUGGGAGAGACUGCAAGACAGCUCUAGUUCUGAGAUAUUAGGUACAACUCCUUUCUGGUAUGGAGGUGAAGGGGAAAGAGGCAUUUGGUUGUUGCCCACUCCCUUCUUAGUACUCAUUCCUCUCCAGUUCUAGGACAGAAUUGUUUUCUGAUUUUCCUUCCUUUCUAAUCAUUCCUUCUCUGUCCAGUUCAAUGGUUCUCCCCCCUUACAAGCAGAAUGUAGCAUUCAAGAACCUUCAUAGAUGGGUACCAAUCUACCUUUCUUCUUUAAAAAAAUGUUUCACAUGUCUAAAAAAACUCAUCAGUUUCCAAUGUGACUCUCUCCCCAAAAGAACUCUCCCCGGUAACAAAGAAAAAGCCAAGCUAAUCAAACCACCACUCACCAUGCAUUUGUAGCAUCUUUACACCUCUAGUCCACCAGCUCAGGAACAAGAAAAAGGAGGUCCAUUUCAUCAUAACCCCCUGGAAUCAAGACUAGUCAUUAAAUUUAUCUGGAUUCUUACAUCUUUUAGUUCCAAAGCAAUUUCCUGGUAUUGUUUCACAUCACUCUGUUCACAAUCAGACUGGUUAUGCCUAUUGGUUGACGAUUAGAUUGAUAUGAGCUUUCGAUUGCCCUCCAUCCUUCAAAAAUUUUCAGUAUAAUCCUCCACUCCGUCCUCCCUGUAUCUGAUCACAAAAGAGGAAUCCCUAUUCCUUACUACGGCAGAGCUCUACCUGAACCUGUGACCCUUUUUCUUCCUGACUUCUUUAGGAUCUUGCUACUGUAUUUGUCCUUUCCCAUCCCUUGGCCCUUCUGCUGAAUCCUAAUACUAUCCCACGUCUUCCCUUUCACAGUCAAAAUUCUUGAAAAAGCUGUCUAUGCCCAAUGCCUCCGCUUCCAUGCCAUCCAAUAGCUAUCAUUUCUUCUAUAGCAUUUCUUUUUUAAUAAGUUAAUUUAUUUUUAGUUUUCAACAUUCACUUCCUUAAGUUUUAAAUUUUCUCCCUCUCCCCAAGAUGGCAUGCAAUCCUGUAGCAUCUCUUCUAUAUGACUUCUCUCCUCUGAUAUUGUCAUCACUCGAGUUUGAGUUCCUAUCAUCUCAUGUCAGUCCUCCCUCAUCACAGUGCCUUCUUUCAAUUUACCCUGUAUAUAUCCUUUGUUCAUAGUUUACGUGUAGACUUUCCCAUUAGACUGGGGGCUCCUAGAGAGCAGGGACUGUUUCCUUGUAUCCCUAGAGCUUAGCAAGUGACUGGCAUGUAGUAGGGGCUUAACAAAUGCUAGCUGACUGUCCCUACAACUCUGCUGAAACUGUGGUCUUAAAGGUCACCAAUAACCCCUGAAUCCCCAAAUCCAAUUGCCUUUUUUAUUCAGUCAUCAACCCUCCCCUCUCUGCAGUUUUCGAAACUGUUGAAAUUCUGUCCCAUUGAAUAUUCUCUCUUUCCUUGGCUUGAGGCACCACCCUCUCCUGGUUCUUCUCUCUGAGCCUCAGUUUCCUCAUCUGAAAAAUGAGGGGAUUGGACUAGAUGUCUCUAAGGUCCCUUCUAGCUCUAAAUCUCUAGUCCUCUUGUUAAUAACUUUAUUUAGCAUGUUAAGGUUUGCAAAGCACUUUCUGUACAACACUUUCAGCCACUGAGUGUAUUAUUUUCAUUUUACAGAUGAGGAAACUGAGGCACAACAAAGUUAAGUGGCUUGCCAUAGAGCUAGUGAGGAUCAGAAGUAGGAUUUGAACCCAGGUAACCUGGACUCCAGAUUUAGCCAGCUUUGCUCUACACCAAGUGUCUGGUUCAGGAGUCAAAUGCAGAUUUCUUAAUUUCAAGUCCUACUCCCCAUCCCUCCCAUACUCUUUCCAUUAUACACCAAACCACUUUGCCUCUAAUCAUUCCUUCUCUGCCUAUCCUGGGUCCUCUUUGCUUUGCCCCAUACGCUUUCCCUUUGUUUGCUCUCAUCACAACCACCAAGUCUAUGCAGACUACUUCUGAACCUGCCUCUCUAGCCCUGAUCUUCUUUCUAUCUAGACUCACUGGAUUGGAAGUCAAAGUGCUGAUAGAAUUCAGGAAGGGUAGGGACUCCUUUAUUUUGUCUUUCUAUCCUUAAAUGUUGGUAUGGUUUCUAUCCUGAAUGAUGUUGGGCAUACAGUAAGUACUUAAUAAAUGCUUGAUUUAAAUCCCUACCCUGACACCAUCUAGCUGCCUGGCCUUGGGCAAGUUACUUAACCUUUGUGAGCCUCAUUUCUUCCUGUUUUGUAAAAUUCAGAGGGUGACUGAUCAAGAUUUGGUCCUAUUGCUCACUGCUAGCGCCAUCUUGGAUCACCUGGGAUGAUCCAAGGUUUCAAAGAUUAUUGGUGACCUUUAAGAGAGCAGUUUCAGUAGAGCUGUAGGGACAGUCAACUAGCAUUUAUUAACCACUUGGAUUGACUGGGGAGGCCUCCCAAAUACAUCAAUUUCAGGAGUGAUGUUAUAUUUGGAGUCAGAGGAUCUAGAUUCAAAUCUUGGCUCACAGAGGCAGCUUAUUGCUGUGUUACC
This is a long non-coding RNA of Trichosurus vulpecula (common brushtail), 3757 nucleotides long. RefSeq lists it as uncharacterized. The transcript has 3 exons. Lineage: Eukaryota; Metazoa; Chordata; Mammalia; Diprotodontia; Phalangeridae. The record is from RefSeq and is a predicted model, not a curated record.